AUUGAACGCUGGCGGCAUGCUUUACACAUGCAAGUCGAACGGCAGCGCGGGCUUCGGCCUGGCGGCGAGUGGCGAACGGGUGAGUAAUGCAUCGGAACGUGCCCAGUAGUGGGGGAUAGCCCGGCGAAAGCCGGAUUAAUACCGCAUACGACCUGAGGGUGAAAGCGGGGGACCGCAAGGCCUCGCGCUAUUGGAGCGGCCGAUGUCGGAUUAGCUAGUUGGUGGGGUAAAGGCUUACCAAGGCGACGAUCCGUAGCUGGUCUGAGAGGACGACCAGCCACACUGGGACUGAGACACGGCCCAGACUCCUACGGGAGGCAGCAGUGGGGAAUUUUGGACAAAGGGGGCAACCCUGAUCCAGCCAUGCCGCGUGCGGGAAGAAGGCCUUCGGGUUGUAAACCGCUUUUGUUCGGGAAGAAAUCCUCUGGGCUAAUACCCCGGGGGGAUGACGGUACCGGAAGAAUAAGCACCGGCUAACUACGUG
RNAcentral lists this ribosomal RNA (484 nucleotides) under uncultured bacterium. RNAcentral's name for it is "partial 16S ribosomal RNA". It matches the Rfam family "Bacterial small subunit ribosomal RNA", at positions 28 to 507 of the family's 1533-position model. The record is from RNAcentral.